Molecule: ribosomal RNA, 929 nt
Filed under: Carnobacterium maltaromaticum
Lineage: Bacteria; Bacillati; Bacillota; Bacilli; Lactobacillales; Carnobacteriaceae
Description: bacterial SSU rRNA
Rfam family: Bacterial small subunit ribosomal RNA
Source: RNAcentral
GUAGACGCGGCGGGUGCUAAUACAUGCAAGUCGAACGCACGAAGUUGAAGAGCUUGCUCUUUAACCAAGUGAGUGGCGGACGGGUGAGUAACACGUGGGUAACCUGCCCAUUAGAGGGGGAUAACAUUCGGAAACGGAUGCUAAUACCGCAUAGUUUCAGGAAUCGCAUGAUUCUUGAAGGAAAGGUGGCUUCGGCUACCACUAAUGGAUGGACCCGCGGCGUAUUAGCUAGUUGGUGAGGUAAUGGCUCACCAAGGCAAUGAUACGUAGCCGACCUGAGAGGGUGAUCGGCCACACUGGGACUGAGACACGGCCCAAACUCCUACGGGAGGCAGCAGUAGGGAAUCUUCCGCAAUGGACGAAAAUCUGACAGAGCAACGCCGCGUGAGUGAAGAAAGUUUUCGGAUCGUAAAACUCUGUUGUUAAAGAAGAACAAGGAUGAGAGUAACUGCUCAUCCCCUGACGGUAUUUAACCAGAAAGCCACGGCUAACUACGUGCCAGCAGCCGCGGUAAUACGUAGGUGGCAAGCGUUGUCCGGAUUUAUUGGGCGUAAAGCGAGCGCAGGCGGUUCUUUAAGUCUGAUGUGAAAGCCCCCGGCUCAACCGGGGAGGGUCAUUGGAAACUGGAGAACUUGAGUGCAGAAGAGGAGAGUGGAAUUCCACGUGUAGCGGUGAAAUGCGUAGAUAUGUGGAGGAACACCAGUGGCGAAGGCGACUCUCUGGUCUGUAACUGACGCUGAGGCUCGAAAGCGUGGGGAGCAAACAGGAUUAGAUACCCUGGUAGUCCACGCCGUAAACGAUGAGUGCUAAGUGUUGGAGGGUUUCCGCCCUUCAGUGCUGCAGCUAACGCAUUAAGCACUCCGCCUGGGGAGUACGGCCGCAAGGCUGAAACUCAAAGGAAUUGACGGGGACCCCACAAGCGGUGGAGC